This 460-nucleotide ribosomal RNA is filed under the name uncultured bacterium. Its description in RNAcentral is "partial 16S ribosomal RNA". It matches the Rfam family "Bacterial small subunit ribosomal RNA", at positions 338 to 795 of the family's 1533-position model. The record is from RNAcentral.
CCUACGGGUGGCAGCAGUGAGGAAUAUUGGUCAAUGGACGAGAGUCUGAACCAGCCACGUCGCGUGAAGGAUGACUGCCCUAUGGGUUGUAAACUUCUUUUAUAUGGGAAUAAAACGUUCCACGUGUGGGAUUUUGUAUGUACCAUAUGAAUAAGGAUCGGCUAACUCCGUGCCAGCAGCCGCGGUAAUACGGAGGAUCCGAGCGUUAUCCGGAUUUAUUGGGUUUAAAGGGAGCGUAGGUGGAUUGUUAAGUCAGUUGUGAAAGUUUGCGGCUCAACCGUAAAAUUGUAGUUGAAACUGGCAGUCUUGAGUACAGUAGAGGCGGGCGGAAUUCGUGGUGUAGCGGUGAAAUGCUUAGAUAUCACGAAGAACUCCGAUUGCGAAGGCAGUUCACUGGACUGCAACUGACACUGAGGCUCGAAAGUGUGGGUAUCAAACAGGAUUAGAUACCCGGGUAGUC